GUGCCAGCAGCCGCGGUAAUACGGGGGUGGCAAGCGUUGUUCGGAAUUACUGGGCGUAAAGGGCGCGUAGGCGGCAUAGCAAGUCAGAUGUGAAAGCCCCGAGCUCAACUCGGGAAUUGCAUCUGAAACUGCUGUGCUUGAGUCCUGGAGGGGGUAGUGGAAUUCCCAGUGUAGCGGUGAAAUGCGUAGAUAUUGGGAGGAACACCUGCGGCGAAGGCGGCUACCUGGACAGUGACUGACGCUGAGGCGCGAAAGCUAGGGGAGCGAACGGGAUUAGAAACCCCUGUAGUCC
RNAcentral lists this ribosomal RNA (292 nucleotides) under uncultured bacterium. RNAcentral's name for it is "partial 16S ribosomal RNA". It matches the Rfam family "Bacterial small subunit ribosomal RNA", at positions 505 to 796 of the family's 1533-position model. The record is from RNAcentral.